AGCGAACGCUGGCGGCAGGCUUAACACAUGCCAGUCGAGCGGGCACUUUCGGGUGUCAGCGGCGGACGGGUGAGUAACGCGGGGUGACUUGCCCUCUGGUUCGGAAUCACUCAGGGAAACUUGAGCUAAUACCGGAUACGCCCUUUUGGGGAAAGGCUUGCUGCCGGAGGAUCGGCCCGCGUCUGAUUAGCUAGUUGGUGAGGUAACGGCUCACCAAGGGGACGAUCAGUAGCUGGUAUGAGAGGAUGAGCAGCAACACUGGGACUGAGACACGGCCCAGGAUCCUACGGGAGGCAGCAGUGGGGAAUAUUGGACAAUGGGCGCAAGCCUGAUCCAGCCAUGCCGCGUGAGUGAUGAAGGCCUUAGGGUUGUAAAGCUCUUUUAUCCGGGACGAUAAUGACGGUACCGGAGGAAUAAGCCCCGGCUAACUUCGUG
This 435-nucleotide ribosomal RNA is filed under the name uncultured bacterium. Its description in RNAcentral is "partial 16S ribosomal RNA". It matches the Rfam family "Bacterial small subunit ribosomal RNA", at positions 29 to 507 of the family's 1533-position model. The record is from RNAcentral.